This is a long non-coding RNA of Felis catus (domestic cat), 579 nucleotides long. RefSeq lists it as uncharacterized. NCBI's taxonomy places the organism in Eukaryota, Metazoa, Chordata, Mammalia, Carnivora, Felidae. The transcript has 2 exons. The record is from RefSeq and is a predicted model, not a curated record.
AUGGAAGACAACUGCUUCUGCAUUCCAUCUGUGGUGAUGUCACAUCGUGUGGAGAACUCCCAGGAGACAAAGGGGGAGGGCUUCCCAGCAUCUUACAAACAGCACAGAGUUUAUGCCUGAACCAGCAGCCAGUGGGUUAACGGGCCUGGCCCCACCUACCCACUGUCAGCAAGGACAACAUCCAAAAGAAACCCACUUGCAACAGCAGCCGGCCUCUGACAGACCCGAACCUACCUCAGGAGGACUGGUCUGAAGCUACCCAGCUACAAGGCUCCCAUAAGGCUCAGAUGAAAUAAGACCAAAUAUGGUACAAGAACGAAUAAUCAAGGAACAAAACUCUUGCUAAUGCAGGAUGUUGGGUUUCAACAUGGAACUAAAGAAUACGCCUACACAAGAGCAGGUUUCCAUUCCUCUAACCGGGAUCUUUGCCCCAUUUCAGUAGGAAGUAAGAAGACGGGUCAUCUUCCCAAUUCCCUCAAGAGUGAAGAAUGAUCAAAAGACAGUGGGGAUUGAAACCCAGAACAGAAGGGUUAGCGGGACUACUGAGAGAGCAGUGACCUCUAACCCCACCCCCACCCC